UGAACUAAGUCUACUACCAAUUUGUGUUA
Molecule: small RNA, 29 nt
Filed under: Bombyx mori (domestic silkworm)
Lineage: Eukaryota; Metazoa; Arthropoda; Insecta; Lepidoptera; Bombycidae
Description: piRNA piR-bmo-1636119
Source: RNAcentral